This 119-nucleotide ribosomal RNA is filed under the name Gossypium hirsutum (cotton). Lineage: Eukaryota; Viridiplantae; Streptophyta; Magnoliopsida; Malvales; Malvaceae. The record is from RNAcentral. RNAcentral also lists the same sequence under 1 other name.
GGGUGCGAUCAUACCAGCACUAAUGCACCGGAUCCCAUCAGAACUCCGCAGUUAAGCGUGCUUGGGCGAGAGUAGUACUAGGAUGGGUGACCUCUUGGGAAGCCCUCGUGUUGCACCCC